GAGGAAGACUGUGCGAGUAUGAAGGAAUAUAGAACGCUGCCCGAGUCGUUCCCUCUUCUGCUUCACGGGAUGUAAAUUGCCACGCAAGACAGCAGCAGCCCUGGCUUGUGAAAUUCCCGAGGCAAACCCUUCUGAGCCCUCAUGAAGGUGAAGAGGCAAAGACAGAGGCAGAAAGUAGAUGAGAAGAACAUCAGGAGCCAGCGGAUGCUGAAAGAAGCAAGGGAUGCUCCUC
Molecule: long non-coding RNA, 232 nt
Organism: Mustela erminea (ermine)
Lineage: Eukaryota; Metazoa; Chordata; Mammalia; Carnivora; Mustelidae
Exons: 3
Source: RefSeq, a predicted model, not a curated record